This 689-nucleotide long non-coding RNA is filed under the name Mus musculus (house mouse). Its description in RNAcentral is "Hand2, opposite strand 1". Lineage: Eukaryota; Metazoa; Chordata; Mammalia; Rodentia; Muridae. The record is from RNAcentral.
GCCGAGGUCCUCUUCUAGGAUUGGUUGUCCACUCAUAACCAUAAGAUAAUUAAAACGGGGGGGGGCAGGGUAAAAAAAAAACCCUUUUAUCAGCCAUAGGUUAAUGCAAGUGUUUAACAGAUGCUUCGCUAUUAAAAUAUUUCCCCCCAAUACUGAAGAAUCUUAAACCAGGCUAGAGCGCCAGCGCUCCUCUGACCCGGCACACUUUGGCAAAGUUGCAGUGGCCUGUUUGCUUAGGCACUGAAGUGGAUGACCCAAGUUAGGAUGACAACUUGCAGAGAACGCGGAUGAGACCUUCAGUUUGUGCCCACACUCAUUUGCAGCAACCCUAACAGAGAUUGCGAAGAUUUUCAAAGUGGGGCACCUCGAUUUCUCGAAUCUGUGGUGUGGCGAAUAUCCGUGUUCCUCCUGCUUAACUAGCCUGUUUGGUCUGAUUCUAUUUAUUCUAAAGACAGAGUUGGAGAUGGGCUACCAUUGGUGUUGAUUGAGAUGACAAGCAGUCACCUGAGCCCAUACAGCUGUGGGAGAAAGUGCUUGCUGCCAAGCUUGAUGACCUAAAUUGAAUACCUGGAACCUACACGACAGAAAGAGAGAGCUGACUGCUGAAAGAUGUCCUCAGAUCUUCACAUGUGCACAGUGGCACCUAUCCAACCAUGCACAUAGUAUAUUAAAAAUUAUUUUUUAAAAAA